AAUCGCAGUCUAGAAAGACACGAACAUCUGAAAAGACGAAAGCAACGCGCAAACACCACCCCAAAGCAGAGAGGAACUAACGCCCAAGCCCUCGGCAUCUGGGGACCUGCACCGCCGUACGCAAGAUGGCUGCCACCUCGCGGUUACCCCGGCAGGAAUUACAGGUUUGCGCUCGGCAUUGUGGGAACUGAAGUCCAACGUUCGCCCUGGGCCUGGUAAACCUCAGCGCUCGGAGACUCGGUCUCCCAGAAUCCAUUGCGUGAUAGACGCAGUAGCGAUAACCAAAGUAAACCCUAACUAGUUCCCAGAUUUGGAGCUGGGAAGUUAUUUAGAACUGUCAACUUUAGCUGAAAAAGGCAGCGACCUACUCUGCGAUUCAUCCGUAAAAGAAAAGAGAGUCCCUGGCACCCCAAACAGAUACAUAAGCCGCUCUCGGUGCAUGCUUUUAAGACUUUCUAGGAUACAAGGAAUCAGGCUUUUUCAAAGGGCUCUCGACAUUUGGCAUCACCCCAGUGAUGAUCAUCCAAGUAGGACUGCCGGCGUUUCUACGAAAAACCACUCAGUAAUUUCAGGCUCGUGUUCUUCUGUCCCUGGAAACAAUCACUACAGCAGAGCCUUAAGUACUUAGGAGAAAGUCGUUUCGCAGGAUCACCGUGUUGUGUUUUUCGUUGAGAAACAAAGACCAAUUACUGAGCUUUCCCGUCUAAAAAGUUAAUUUGUGACAAGCACUCAGAAUCGCAGCUGCUUUAUGACCGAGAAGGCUUAGGCUUAUGACCAAAGCAGACCAUCCCCUUACAAAGAAAGAAUCAACCUUUGAUGUUUCCUCGUCGUUAGAUCCAAGUUAUGUAUCCUCAGUGGAAACAACCAUCAGCUGACAAUUAAGCUAUUUGCUGACUUAAACGUGGCCUCCUCAUCGCCAGCAUCCCCUCUACUGCAAACUUUGCUUUUUUUAAGGAAAUGCUUUUGAAAUGGUAUCAGUGCCUUUAGCAACCUGGUGAUGCUUCCAAGUCAUAAAAAGAAUUGCAGUGUCCCUGCCAAGGAAUCGAAUGGUGAAGAUUUGCCACACCAUCUAUGGAAGGUUACCAAUUCUUGUUCUUUACCGUGUUUGUAAAAUACAUAAAAAAUACAUUAAAAAUUAUAGCAA
This is a long non-coding RNA of Canis lupus familiaris (dog), 1144 nucleotides long. RefSeq lists it as uncharacterized. NCBI's taxonomy places the organism in Eukaryota, Metazoa, Chordata, Mammalia, Carnivora, Canidae. The record is from RefSeq and is a predicted model, not a curated record. The transcript has 3 exons.